This 574-nucleotide ribosomal RNA is filed under the name bacterium enrichment culture clone MS6. RNAcentral's name for it is "bacterial SSU rRNA". It matches the Rfam family "Bacterial small subunit ribosomal RNA", at positions 324 to 916 of the family's 1533-position model. The record is from RNAcentral.
AAUUCGCCCUUACUCCUACGGGAGGCAGCAGUGGGGAAUCUUGCACAAUGGGCGAAAGCCUGAUGCAGCGACGCCGCGUGGAGGAUGAAGGCCUUCGGGUUGUAAACUCCUUUUCUUGGGAAAGAUGAUGACGGUACCCAAGGAAUAAGCCACGGCUAACUCUGUGCCAGCAGCCGCGGUAAGACAGAGGUGGCAAGCGUUGUUCGGAAUUACUGGGCUUAAAGGGCGAGUAGGCGGUGGAGCAAGUCUGAGGUGGAAUCCUAUGGCUUAACCAUAGAACUGCCUUAGAAACUGCUUUACUUGAGUCAGUGAGGGGAGGGCGGAAUUCCUGGUGUAGCGGUGAAAUGCGUAGAUAUCAGGAGGAAGGCCUGUGGCGAAAGCGGCCCUCUGGCACUGUACUGACGCUGAGGCGCGAAAGCGUGGGGAGCAAACAGGAUUAGAUACCCUGGUAGUCCACGCCCUAAACGGUGGGCAUUAGGUGUAGGGCUCGUAAGGGUUCUGUGCCGAAGGGAAACCAUUAAAUGCCCCGCCUGGGGAAUACGGCCGCAAGGUUGAAACUCAAAGGAAUUGACGG